UACGUAGGGUGCGAGCGUUAAUCGGAAUUACUGGGCGUAAAGCGUGCGCAGGCGGUUUUGUAAGCCAGAUGUGAAAUCCCCGGGCUUAACCUGGGAAUGGCAUUUGGGACUGCAAGGCUGGAGUGUGGCAGAGGAGACUGGAAUUCCUGGUGUAGCAGUGAAAUGCGUAGAUAUCAGGAGGAACACCAGUGGCGCAAGCGGCUGACUGGCCGAGACCUGACGCUGAGACGCGACGGCGUGGGGAGCGAACAGG
Molecule: ribosomal RNA, 253 nt
Filed under: uncultured bacterium
Lineage: Bacteria
Description: partial 16S ribosomal RNA
Rfam family: Bacterial small subunit ribosomal RNA
Source: RNAcentral